This 1342-nucleotide ribosomal RNA is filed under the name metagenome. RNAcentral's name for it is "bacterial SSU rRNA". It matches the Rfam family "Bacterial small subunit ribosomal RNA", at positions 54 to 1432 of the family's 1533-position model. The record is from RNAcentral.
CAUGCAAGUCGAGCGAGAACCCAUCUUCGGAUGGGGGGCAGUGGCGAACGGGUGAGUAACACGUUGGUGACCUGCCCUGAAGCCGGGGACAACCCUUCGAAAGGGGGGCUAAUACCCGAUAUGUUUGCGCUGUUUAGAAGGGCGCAAAUAAAGUUCCGGCGCUUCAGGAGGGGCCAGCCGCCUAUCAGCUUUGGUGAGGUAAUGGCUCACCAAGGCGACGACGGGUAGGGGGCGUGAGAGCGUGACCCCCCACAAUGGAACUGAGACACGGUCCAUACUCCUCCGGGAGGCAGCAGUGAGGAAUAUUGCACAAUGGGGGAAACCCUGAUGCAGCAACGCCGCGUGGGUGAUGAAGGCCUUCGGGUCGUAAAACCCUUUUCUGGGGGACGAGAAAGGACGGUACCCCAGGAAUAAGUCCCGGCUAACUACGUGCCAGCAGCCGCGGUAAAACGUAGGGGGCGAGCGUUAUCCGGAAUUACUGGGCGUAAAGCGCGUGCAGGCGGCUUGAUAGGUUGGACGUGAAAGCUCCUGGCUCAACUGGGAGAGGCCGUUCAAAACCAUCAGGCUUGAGGACGGAAGAGGGGAGUGGAAUUCCCGGUGUAGUGGUGGAAUGCGUAGAUAUCGGGAGGAACACCUGUGGCGAAAGCGGCUCCCUGGUCCGUAUCUGACGCUCAGACGCGAAAGCGUGGGGAGCGAACGGGAUUAGAUACCCCGGUAGUCCACGCUGUAAACGAUGGAUGCUAGGUGUGGGAGGUCUUGACCCCUUCCGUGCCGUAGCUAACGCGUUAAGCAUCCCGCCUGGGGACUACGGCCGCAAGGUUAAAACUCAAAGGAAUUGACGGGGGCCCGCACAAGCAGCGGAGCGUGUGGUUUAAUUCGAUUCUACACGAAGAACCUUACCUGGGCUUGACAUGCACGUAGUAGUGAAGCGAAAGCGGAACGACCUUCGGGAGCGUGCACAGGUGCUGCAUGGCUGUCGUCAGCUCGUGUCGUGAGAUGUUGGGUUAAGUCCCGCAACGAGCGCAACCCUCGUCGUUAGUUACAUGUGUCUAACGAGACUGCCGGUAUCAAACCGGAGGAAGGUGGGGAUGACGUCAAGUCAGCAUGGCCCUUAUGUCCAGGGCUACACACACGCUACAAUGGUCGGUACAAUGGGCUGCUACACCGCGAGGUGAAGCGAAUCCUCAAAGCCGGCCUCAGUUCAGAUUGCAGUCUGCAACCCGACUGCAUGAAGGCGGAGUUGCUAGUAACCGCGCGUCAGCCAUAGUGCGGUGAAUACGUUCCCGGGCCUUGUACACACCGCCCUUCACGUCAUGGGAGCUGGUAACACCUGAAGUCGGUG